GACGAACGCUGGCGGCGUGCUUAACACAUGCAAGUCGAACGGAAAGGCCCUGCUUUUGUGGGGUGCUCGAGUGGCGAACGGGUGAGUAACACGUGAGUAACCUGCCCUUGACUUUGGGAUAACUUCAGGAAACUGGGGCUAAUACCGGAUAGGAGCUCCUGCUGCAUGGUGGGGGUUGGAAAGUUUCGGCGGUUGGGGAUGGACUCGCGGCUUAUCAGCUUGUUGGUGGGGUAGUGGCUUACAAAGGCUUUGACGGGUAGCCGGCCUGGGAGGGUGACCGGCCACAUUGGGACUGAGAUACGGCCCAGACUCCUACGGGAGGCAGCAGGGGGGAAUAUUGCACAAUGGGCGGAAGCCUGAUGCAGCAACGCCGCGUGCGGGAUGACGGCCUUCGGGUUGUAAACCGCUUUCGCCUGUGACGAAGCGUGAGUGACGGUAAUGGGUAAGGAAGCACCGGCUAACUACGUG
Molecule: ribosomal RNA, 468 nt
Filed under: uncultured bacterium
Lineage: Bacteria
Description: partial 16S ribosomal RNA
Rfam family: Bacterial small subunit ribosomal RNA
Source: RNAcentral